ACCAGCCAAGAAACACCUUUAUCAGUGGGCCGUUCUUUUCUUCUUAUUCCAUCUCUUUUUACAGGGGUAACCGAUUCAUCAUCACGCAAUAAUUCCUCAUCUUCUUGAGCAAGAGGUGGUCUAACACUAGAAGCAUUGUAUACACUGAGAUCAAGCAGGUCAAGCGGUAUCCCAACAUCUGGCUCAACAAAAAGUUGGGGUUUAUACGUCUUCUCCAAUGAUGUGAUUGUGUAUUUUGU
This 239-nucleotide unclassified non-coding RNA is filed under the name Hevea brasiliensis (rubber tree). The record is from RNAcentral. Lineage: Eukaryota; Viridiplantae; Streptophyta; Magnoliopsida; Malpighiales; Euphorbiaceae.